GGAUGACCAGCGGAGGGAUCAUUACCGAGUUUACAACUCCCAAACCCAAUGUGAACGUUACCAAACUGUUGCCUCGGCGGGGUCACGCCCCGGGUGCGUCGCAGCCCCGGAACCAGGCGCCCGCCGGAGGAACCAACCAAACUCUUUCUGUAGUCCCCUCGCGGACGUAUUUCUUUACAGCUCUGAGCAAAAAUUCAAAAUGAAUCAAAACUUUCAACAACGGAUCUCUUGGUUCUGGCAUCGAUGAAGAACGCAGCGAAAUGCGAUAAGUAAUGUGAAUUGCAGAAUUCAGUGAAUCAUCGAAUCUUUGAACGCACAUUGCGCCCGCCAGUAUUCUGGCGGGCAUGCCUGUCCGAGCGUCAUUUCAACCCUCGAACCCCUCCGGGGGAUCGGCGUUGGGGAUCGGGACCCCUCACACGGGUGCCGGCCCCUAAAUACAGUGGCGGUCUCGCCGCAGCCUCUCCUGCGCAGUAGUUUGCACAACUCGCACCGGGAGCGCGGCGCGUCCACGUCCGUAAAACACCCAACUUUCUGAAAUGUUGACCUCGGAUCAGGUAGGAAUACCCGCUGAACUUAAGCAUAUCAA
RNAcentral lists this ribosomal RNA (586 nucleotides) under Trichoderma asperellum. Its description in RNAcentral is "eukaryotic LSU rRNA". The stretch from base 209 to 362 matches the Rfam family "5.8S ribosomal RNA". The record is from RNAcentral. Lineage: Eukaryota; Fungi; Ascomycota; Sordariomycetes; Hypocreales; Hypocreaceae.